RNAcentral lists this ribosomal RNA (406 nucleotides) under uncultured bacterium. Its description in RNAcentral is "partial 16S ribosomal RNA". It matches the Rfam family "Bacterial small subunit ribosomal RNA", at positions 28 to 526 of the family's 1533-position model. The record is from RNAcentral.
GACGAACGCUGGCGGCGUGCUUAACACAUGCAAGUCGAACGAGUGGCGAACGGGUGAGAAAUACGUGGGAACCUGCCCUCCUUUUGGGGGUAAGCCUUGGAAACGGGGUCUAAUACCGAAUUAAGGGGGAUGGGCUCGGGGCCUAUCAGCUGGUUGGUGGGGUGAUGGCCUACCAAGGCGGUGCCGGGUAGCCGGCCUGAGAGGGUGACCAGCCACACUGGAACUGAGACACGGUCCAGACUCCUACGGGAGGCAGCAGUGGGGAAUAUUGCACAAUGGGCGCAAGCCGGAUGCAGCCAUGCCGCGUGUAUGAAGAAGGCCUUCGGGUUGUAAAGUACUUUCAGCGAGGAGGCGUUACUCGCAGAAGAAGCACCGGCUAACUCCGUGCCAGCAGCCGCGGUAAUUC